GGUCUGGUAGCUCAGUUGGUUAGAGUGCAUGCCUGUCACGCAUGAAGUCGCGGGUUCGAGUCCCGUCCGGACCG
Molecule: transfer RNA, 74 nt
Filed under: Bacteroidia bacterium
Lineage: Bacteria; Pseudomonadati; Bacteroidota; Bacteroidia
Rfam family: tRNA
About the family: Transfer RNA (tRNA) molecules are approximately 80 nucleotides in length.
Source: Rfam by way of RNAcentral